AAGAACCUUGGCUUCAAUAGAGCCUCAACCAUGAUACCAUAUAUCCCCACAAUGUACAAAAAGCUAUAACAAAUAAAGUAUAAAACACUGUUUAUAUUUUAGUCUACACUUCACAGGGCCAUCAUCGCAAGGGAAAGUGCUGCUGCACCUCUUGAGCCAGACAGCAAACCUGUACAACGCGGGUUUCUUACUGAUGAGACAACUCUAUAUUUUGAUCCCUCCUGCAUUAUGAGAUGAAAAGCA
Molecule: unclassified non-coding RNA, 243 nt
Filed under: Hevea brasiliensis (rubber tree)
Lineage: Eukaryota; Viridiplantae; Streptophyta; Magnoliopsida; Malpighiales; Euphorbiaceae
Source: RNAcentral